Molecule: ribosomal RNA, 873 nt
Filed under: Dermabacter jinjuensis
Lineage: Bacteria; Bacillati; Actinomycetota; Actinomycetes; Micrococcales; Dermabacteraceae
Description: bacterial SSU rRNA
Rfam family: Bacterial small subunit ribosomal RNA
Source: RNAcentral
GGACGAACGCUGGCGGCGUGCUUAACACAUGCAAGUCGAACGAUGAAGCUGUGCUUGCACAGUGGAUUAGUGGCGAACGGGUGAGUAACACGUGAGUAACCUGCCCUCCACUUUGGGAUAACUCCGAGAAAUCGGGGCUAAUACUGGAUAUGACUAUGGCCCGCAUGGGUUGUGGUGGAAAGUUUUUCGGUGGGGGAUGGGCUCGCGGCCUAUCAGUUUGUUGGUGAGGUAGUGGCUCACCAAGGCGAUGACGGGUAGCCGGCCUGAGAGGGCGACCGGCCACACUGGGACUGAGACACGGCCCAGACUCCUACGGGAGGCAGCAGUGGGGAAUAUUGCACAAUGGGCGAAAGCCUGAUGCAGCGACGCCGCGUGGGGGAUGACGGCCUUCGGGUUGUAAACCUCUUUCAGCAAGGAAGAAGCGAAAGUGACGGUACUUGCAGAAGAAGCGCCGGCUAACUACGUGCCAGCAGCCGCGGUAAUACGUAGGGCGCAAGCGUUGUCCGGAAUUAUUGGGCGUAAAGGGCUUGUAGGUGGCUUGUCGCGUCUGCCGUGAAAACCCAGGGCUUAACUCUGGGCGUGCGGUGGGUACGGGCAGGCUAGAGUGCGGUAGGGGAGACUGGAAUUCCUGGUGUAGCGGUGAAAUGCGCAGAUAUCAGGAGGAACACCGAUGGCGAAGGCAGGUCUCUGGGCCGUUACUGACACUGAGAAGCGAAAGCAUGGGGAGCGAACAGGAUUAGAUACCCUGGUAGUCCAUGCCGUAAACGUUGGGCACUAGGUGUGGGGAGCAUUCCACGUUUUCCGCGCCGUAGCUAACGCAUUAAGUGCCCCGCCUGGGGAGUACGGCCGCAAGGCUAAAACUCAAAGGAAUUG